This 753-nucleotide long non-coding RNA is filed under the name Daphnia pulicaria. RNAcentral's name for it is "uncharacterized LOC124320788, transcript variant X2". Lineage: Eukaryota; Metazoa; Arthropoda; Branchiopoda; Diplostraca; Daphniidae. The record is from RNAcentral.
AUGGUGAAACGAGUCGAAAUGAGCGAAACAAAUGGUUGCUAAUUUAUGCUUAUUCCUGUGAAUUCAAAUACCAAAUUGAACUUCGUAUCUUAUAUGCAUACUGUCAGUCAUUCCAACAAGUUGACUUCAGCGAUCAGUCAAUAUCCAUCCAUUAGAUCCUCAUGCUGUCAAAAGCCUAAAACUCAUGUUUGAAGAGCACAUAUAGUGGAAUAUAAAUGUGCCAAGAUAAGGAUCUUUUCCAAAUCUUGCAAUUUUGGUGGUGUACCCUGCAACAGCACGUUUGUUGUGAUGGCUGUUUUUACUUUGGUUUAGAAGGCAACCCAGCUAAGAGAUAGAGUUUCAGUGACAUGAAGAGUGUGAAGUGAACCACCUAUCACCACGCUAAGUACUGCAAUACUUCAUGACACUUUCUUUAGCAUCAGGAAGUUUGUCUCAACAUGUGGAGUAAUGCUGUUGGUUGCUGUGAAUUCCAUUUCUACGGUUAUGUCAUCAUGAACUUUUCAGUGUGCUUCUUAGAAAAGAGCUCACAGUUUCUUUGUGGAAUCGUGUGGUCCUGGCACGGAUAUUCUUGAGCCAACGCUGGCUUUUGUUCAUGACCAACGUUCUGCUCCAUCCUUAUCUUCCCGGCGUAAACUUUUCCAGCUUCUGCUUCAUCGCUUCGUACACAAAAAUACAACUUGUCUUGCUUCACUGACGAGUUGGAACACUUCAGUGGUCGCUUGCGUCCCGCUGUUACACACCUGCAAUCACUCA